RNAcentral lists this ribosomal RNA (253 nucleotides) under uncultured bacterium. RNAcentral's name for it is "partial 16S ribosomal RNA". It matches the Rfam family "Bacterial small subunit ribosomal RNA", at positions 524 to 776 of the family's 1533-position model. The record is from RNAcentral.
UACAGAGGUCUCAAGCGUUGUUCGGAAUCACUGGGCGUAAAGGGUGCGUAGGCCGCACGGCAAGUCAGAUGUGAAAGCCCGGAGCUCAACUCCGGAAUGGCAUCCGAUACUGCCGUGCUCGAGGACUGGAGAGGAGUCUGGAAUUCACAGUGGAGCAGUGAAAUGCGUAGAUAUUGUGAGGAACACUAGUGGCGAAGGCGAGACUCUGGACAGUUCCUGACGCUGAGGCACGAAGGCCAGGGGAGCAAACGGG